GACGAACGCUGGCGGCGUGCUUAACACAUGCAAGUCGAACGGAAAGGCCCUGCUUUUGUGGGGUGCUCGAGUGGCGAACGGGUGAGUAACACGUGAGUAACCUGCCCUUGACUUUGGGAUAACUUCAGGAAACUGGGGCUAAUACCGGAUAGGAGCUCCUGCUGCAUGGUGGGGGUUGGAAAGUUUCGGCGGUUGGGGAUGGACUCGCGGCUUAUCAGCUUGUUGGUGGGGUAGUGGCUUACCAAGGCUUUGACGGGUAGCCGGCCUGAGAGGGUGACCGGCCACAGUGGGACUGAGAUACGGCCCAGAGUCCUACGGGAGGCAGCAGUGGGGAAUAUAGCACAAUGGGCGGAAGCCUGAUGCAGCAACGCCGCGUGCGGGAUGACGGCCUUCGGGUUGUAAACCGCUUUCGCCUGUGACGAAGCGUGAGUGACGGUAAUGGGGAAAGAAGCACCGGCUAACUACGU
Molecule: ribosomal RNA, 467 nt
Filed under: uncultured bacterium
Lineage: Bacteria
Description: partial 16S ribosomal RNA
Rfam family: Bacterial small subunit ribosomal RNA
Source: RNAcentral